GACGAACGCUGGCGGCGUGCUUAACACAUGCAAGUCGAACGGAAAGGCCCUGCUUUUGUGGGGUGCUCGAGUGGCGAACGGGUGAGUAACACGUGAGUAACCUGCCCUUGACUUUGGGAUAACUUCAGGAAACUUGGGCUAAUACCGGAUAGGAGCUCCUGCUGCAUGGUGGGGGUUGGAAAGUUUCGGCGGUUGGGGAUGGACUCGCGGCUUAUCAGCUUGUUGGUGGGGUAGUGGCUUACCAAGGCUUUGACGGGUAGCCGGCCUGAGAGGGUGACCGGCCACAUUGGGACUGAGAUACGGCCCAGACUCCUACGGGAGGCAGCGGUGGGGAAUAUUGCACAAUGGGCGGGAGCCUGAUGCAGCAACGCCGCGUGCGGGAUGACGGCCUUCGCGUAGUAAACCGCUUUCGCCUGUGACGAAGCGUGAGUGACGGUAAUGGGUAAAGAAGCACCGGCUAACUACGUG
This 468-nucleotide ribosomal RNA is filed under the name uncultured bacterium. RNAcentral describes it as "partial 16S ribosomal RNA". It matches the Rfam family "Bacterial small subunit ribosomal RNA", at positions 28 to 507 of the family's 1533-position model. The record is from RNAcentral.